UGCUUUUUGAUUCAGGAUGGAAAACCAUUUCUCCUUCAAUAUGAAUGCAGCCAAGAGCAUUGAGUAUGCCGUCUUUCGAAACGAAGUAUUGAGUCGACGAAUCUCCGGUGCUAUUGGAGCAAACCCGACGAUGAUUUGAACUUUGUGGUGGGGCGGUUUUAAGGUCGGAUCUUGCACGACGCGUCCAUGAAACAGAGAUUUGAAUCGAGUGUUAUGGUUGACAUUUUUACGAACACUUGGCAUGCUUCAUUCCUCUCUUGCAUCAAGAAUGCGACACUAAAACCAUCUUAUCAAUUCAAUAAUUUGUAACAAACUGUAGAAGAUGAUGUACGCGAAAAAAAUGAUGUGCGGUGUUCACACGGUUACGGAGGUUAGUAAGUGGUUAUUGGUGGUUUGGAGUUGUUGCUCAACCGGCAGUGAGGGUGGUUCGCUCUUAUACGGUUGUUGCAGAGAGAAACAUUUGUGUUGUUGUUAACGGCGCUAACGUAGGUUGCGGGUCUGAAAUACGGUGUUGAAUACGAUGAAACUUGAAGGUUGGAAGGAAGGCGAUGGCUAUGGAUUUGUUGUGGUGGUUGGCCGGAAGACGAAAAUGGGAGGUAAUCCGGUGAUGGAAGCAAGGUUGUUUUGGUGAGACGGUGAAGAUGACGGUGUCGUCGGAAGUUGUGAUUUGGAGAGUCUGUGAGGGAAGAGAGACGGAUUUCUUUAAUUUAUUUUCUUUUUCUUUUACUGAGAGAGACUGAUGGAGUGGAUAGGUGGUGAUGGAAAUGAGGGUAACGUGUGAGAGAGAGGAUGCGUGAGGGAGAAAGGAAACGUGAGGUGAAUAUUAAUUUUAUUUUCCUUUUCCUUUUUUAUUAACAAUUCUUAUUAUCUAUUAUUUAAAGAAAG
This 885-nucleotide long non-coding RNA is filed under the name Lathyrus oleraceus (garden pea). RNAcentral describes it as "Pisum sativum (pea) long non-coding RNA (PSAT_LNC012031)". The record is from RNAcentral. Lineage: Eukaryota; Viridiplantae; Streptophyta; Magnoliopsida; Fabales; Fabaceae.